Misgurnus anguillicaudatus (oriental weatherfish) is the source of this 2723-nucleotide non-coding RNA. The record is from RefSeq and is a predicted model, not a curated record. NCBI's taxonomy places the organism in Eukaryota, Metazoa, Chordata, Actinopteri, Cypriniformes, Cobitidae.
UGGGGUGUUAAUAUUUCAGAGUAAAGUUAUUUUAACCCAGAUAGAGUAUUUUCAACAUUUGGGGGAGUAAAGUUGCUCUAUCGGUGGAGUUAAAAGCGAGUGUAAAAAUCUGCAGAAACCCAGUGACAAUUUCAACUCUACAGCAGUGAUGAAUAAGUAACCCGCCACUCUGCUGUGCUCUGUGCUGUCUCAAACGUUUGGCACUCAUUUCGGUGGCGGAAGACUCUGAAGGAGCAAUGCAAGGCCACUGAUAUUGCUAGGUAAGUAAAAUCAUGUGUUGUCCACAACAACACGGUAUUUUUUAACUUUACAUCAUUUUAAAAGUGUGCUGAUAUUAGUUGAGGUCAUAUUACAAGUUAUAGCAAUCCGUAUCGAUCUUUCUUUAUUUGUUGCAAUAUUUUCACGAAUGAAGUUGGUCAGAAUGAUUUAACUUAUGCGUAAAAUAAUUCGGUCACUAUAACAACAAAAGAUUUAAUACAGUUAAUAGCUAUUCUUAGUUAACUUAUUUUUAGCUUCCCAGACCACGUCAAUCUAGGCUUUUUAUAUCAGCAUGCUUCUGAUAGUUAAUGUUGGUCUUUUAAAACGACUUAGAUCAGUGAUUGCAUGACGUGUUUGUUUAACAUGGCUUAACAAUUUUAAAUGGUUAGUUCCAAUUAAAAUAGCUGAUGAGCUAACUAACUUUGGCACAAUGAAAUGUGAUCGAGAAUACGUGUGUAUUUUUACGUAAAGUGUGGUUGCACCACACGCACAUUUACUUAGGUUUAAAACACACUAAAACCUAUAAUAUCACGUUUUGACUGGACUAAUACGUUAAUUAUUUAUGUAUUAACAGCUUUACAGACGUACGUAAGUUAUUCCUAUUCAUAAAUAUUAAAAUCGCGGACGUUCGUAUUAAUGACAUGCUAUCUAAUAUUUAGUUUGUUUGCCAUGACACACAAAAACGCGUCUCCUAUGCAACAAUAAUUAGAACAAACCACAACAUAAAUUCAUAAAAUAUGUUCAUUUUAUUCAUUCGCUGUAAUCCACAUCUUUAAAAUUCAUACGAUUGCGAGGAACUGAUCCAAGUUCAGCCCUUUACAGCCAUCUUGAUCCCAGAUCUCAUCAGCGACUGUUAAGCAAAAUCGCGCGUUCGUAAAUUUAAAUUAAAAUAUCGCCUCACAAAGCUUUCCGACAUAUUGCAUUAUGGCAGUGAUAGUUGAACCAGCCUAACUUUGGAUUUUGAAUAUAUAUUUUCUUUGAAAACAGGGGCAAAAUGCUGUUGCGUGUUCAAUUUGGGGAAGAGCAGAAAUACGUCUAGCUGUCUGAGCCGACAUUUGAUGCUUUCUUAAAAGAAGUUAAUAAAAUAAUAAUACAAAGAAAAACAGCAGAGGAAAGAGGUGCCUCAGUCAGCAAAUCUCCUAAAGUUGGUGGGCCAGGUCGUGUUCGUCAGCCCUUCACCUUUGACAGAGCCAUUUUAAAUGAGGAUGUGGAAACAGCUAUUGCUGUUUUGAGACACUCUGCUGAUGAAAAGACUGUCCGUGAGAAGAUGAAAAUGACCUUCAUAUAUCGGCAAGCAAUGGUCAACGAUGAAGCCAAAUCAUCAGAUGUCUUCUUGGUCUUCCCACGAUUUCUGGACACACCAGGACUGAUAGAACAAGAUUUCAGAUUUCUAUUUGGUGAGGCCACGGCCAACAAAUUCUUGGAGAAGUGGCCAACCACUUUUAAAGCAAAACUAAUAAAGGAAAGCCAUGGACUUGUACCCACCACAGAACUCUUGGAUUUAAUGCGCAAAGCUGAGUCCGCUGCUGAAGUUGAGAAUGGCUGGGACAGUGACAUGUUGCUGCUGCUACAUCUGCUACCACCGUCUGCACAAGGUAGAAAGAGGCCGGGAAAGCUUUCUGCGUAUCAAGCUGUAGAUCAGCUCAUCAGAUUUCAUGCUUAAAGGGUUGGAACCAGUAUGCAGCAGCAUCUAGACAACAUCACCCAAAGCAGUCAGCCCUACCUUCUCGCCCAGGGAUCCACACAGAGCACCAUUCACUCCUACUUCAUUGUGGUUGACAAGCAUGCACUUCCAUGCAAGGCAACAGGUUCAGUUGGAGCUUUUGAUAAACUCUUUAAAGCCCAUUACGUCUUUGGUACGUCAUACAGUUCUUCCCUGAGCUGCUUUUUCACUUUUGUGCAAACAACCAUCUAUAACAUCGACUUGGGGGAAACAAAGGAGACUUCUAGAGUUGCAGAGUUGCGGGCAAGAAUGGUGCGUUAGUUUAGAUAAAACUAUGAAGUGUUUUCUUUAUGGUAAAAGAAGGUUCUGAAAUUGCUUUGGCAAUGCAAGUGCCCAGUAGCAUUCAGGUUAUGAAGGUUAAUUGGGCUAAACAUAAUGGGUUUGUUUAUCGCCCAAACUUGGUUAUCUGUGGCAAAGUUGAAUCUGAAGUGCCAGUGUUUUAUCAGAUUGAGUCAGUUCUGAUAAUGUUUGAAAAACUGUUGCUACUCACAGUGCCUUUAGGUACAGUAACUUUUUCAAGAACAUUUCCAUGCAUAUGAGGUGAUCAGAUCAAAGCAUGGAUUUUUUUUCAUGUUGAUAACCUGCAUUACCCUAGGCCUUUUGACAUACAUAUGUAUGGAGGGAAUGACACAACUCUCCUGGUCAUGCCAUAUUGCUUUCUCUGGUAAACAUUUUUAUGAGUUUUAUACAUGUUUCUGUCAGAGACAAGGCAAUGGGUUUGCAAUGUAAAUUCAAUGACAUU